RNAcentral lists this ribosomal RNA (315 nucleotides) under uncultured eukaryote. RNAcentral describes it as "partial 18S ribosomal RNA". It matches the Rfam family "Eukaryotic small subunit ribosomal RNA", at positions 1470 to 1796 of the family's 1831-position model. The record is from RNAcentral.
CCCUUAGAUGUUCUGGGCCGCACGCGUGCUACACUGACCGGCGCAACAAGCAUCCGUCCUUGGCCGACAGGCUCGGGCAAUCUUUGAACGCUGGUCGUGAUGGGGAUAGACUUUUGCAAUUUUUGGUCUUCAACGAGGAAUUCCUAGUAAACGCAAGUCAUCAACUUGCAUUGAUUACGUCCCUGCCCUUUGUACACACCGCCCGUCGCACCUACCGAUUGAAUGGUCCGGUGAAGCCUCCGGAUUGGCGCGCACCUCGGUGCCGCCGAGAAGUUGGCUAAACCUUACCAUUUAGAGGAAGGUGAAGUCGUAACA